CCUACGGGUGGCAGCAGUGGGGAAUAUUGGACAAUGGGCGAAAGCCUGAUCCAGCCAUGCCGCGUGUGUGAAGAAGGCCUUCGGGUUGUAAAGCACUUUCAGUGGGGAAGAAAGCCUUGGGGCUAAUACCCUCGAGGAAGGACAUCACCCACAGAAGAAGCACCGGCUAACUCCGUGCCAGCAGCCGCGGUAAUACGGAGGGUGCGAGCGUUAAUCGGAAUUACUGGGCGUAAAGCGCGCGUAGGCGGUCUGAUAAGCCGGUUGUGAAAGCCCCGGGCUCAACCUGGGAACGGCAUCCGGAACUGUCAGGCUAGAGUGCAGGAGAGGAAGGUAGAAUUCCCGGUGUAGCGGUGAAAUGCGUAGAGAUCGGGAGGAAUACCAGUGGCGAAGGCAGCCUUCUGGACUGACACUGACGCUGAGGUGCGAAAGCGUGGGUAGCAAACAGGAUUAGAUACCCUGGUAGUC
RNAcentral lists this ribosomal RNA (465 nucleotides) under Vreelandella stevensii. Its description in RNAcentral is "partial 16S ribosomal RNA". It matches the Rfam family "Bacterial small subunit ribosomal RNA", at positions 338 to 795 of the family's 1533-position model. The record is from RNAcentral. Lineage: Bacteria; Pseudomonadati; Pseudomonadota; Gammaproteobacteria; Oceanospirillales; Halomonadaceae.